Pelobates cultripes (western spadefoot toad) is the source of this 272-nucleotide non-coding RNA. The record is from the annotation of a GenBank genome assembly. Lineage: Eukaryota; Metazoa; Chordata; Amphibia; Anura; Pelobatidae.
GCGGCGUCUAGGAGUCUCCCUAUAAUUCGGAGGAAGAGGAGGUGAUGGAUGCCCCUGACGACAUUCCUCACACAAAGGGGUUAGUGAUCACUCCACUAAUUAAAGAUUUGACAGCCCCAGCCACUAAAGGGGACAUCAAGGCACUUAUAAACAACAACAGGGCCUUCUUUAAUGCUGACCUAGACAUAAUCAGAGAGGACAUUACAGUGGUUACAGCAAGGGUGCAAGCAACUGAAGAAAUAGUCUCCACCAUGGCACACCAUCAGGAAAAC